UACGGAGGGUGCGAGCGUUAAUCGGAUUUACUGGGCGUAAAGCGCGCGUAGGCGGUUUGGUAAGUCGGGUGUGAAAUCCCAGGGCUCAACCCUGGAACUGCACUCGAUACUGCCUCACUAGAGUAUGACAGAGGAAAGUGGAAUUCCGGGUGUAGCGGUGAAAUGCGUAGAUAUCCGGAGGAACAUCAGUGGCGAAGGCGACUUUCUGGGUCAAUACUGACGCUCAGGUGCGAAAGCGUGGGUAGCAAACAGG
This 253-nucleotide ribosomal RNA is filed under the name uncultured bacterium. RNAcentral's name for it is "partial 16S ribosomal RNA". It matches the Rfam family "Bacterial small subunit ribosomal RNA", at positions 524 to 776 of the family's 1533-position model. The record is from RNAcentral.